CAACUCAGUAAUUUGCGAUUGGUUUAUGAAUAGAACUUAUAAAAUUUGUUAAAAUAAGAGUUGCAGGUUUUGAGAAAAGAAUCUCUGAUGCAUUAGAAAGAAAUCGAAAUGGCCUUUAAAUAGCCUUACAACAACUGAAAUGAGAAAACUAAGGAAACAGAUUUGAACGUGGCUUAGUUCCUACGAUUACGCCUUAUUGAUUGACUCAACAUCACUAACUAAUAGUGACUUAGUCUUUGAUGACUUAUUCAACUCCAACAAAACCCUCCCUUAAACUGAACAUGUUGGAUCAACAUUCAGUUUAAACUCCUUGUGCUUGCAUUCCCAGAAGACUUCGCAGUUUAACAAAGGUCUCGAGCUUCACCGGCUUUGUCAUAACAUCUGCAACUUGUUCUCCCGUUCCAACGAACACUAGCUUCACCACUUCUUGAUUUGUAAGAUCACGCAAAUAGUGAUAUUUCACGUCGAUGUGCUUGGUGCGCCUAUGCAUCACCGGAUUCUUUGACAGCUUAAUUGAUGAAGUGUUAUCACAAUAAAUCUCCAUACACUUACACUCUUCGCUGAAGUUCUGCUCCAAGACUCCUUUAAACCAAACGCAAUGACACGCACAUGAAGUUGCAGCAACAUACUCCGCUUCAGUAGACGAUAAAGUCACCACCUCUUGUUUCCUUGAACUCCAACAUACUGCAGCUCCAUUUAGUAAAAACACAUAACCAGAAGUGCUUCUCCGAUCAUCAGUGUCUCCGGCAUAGUCGCUGUCUGUGUAUGCCUCCACUUUCAGCUCAGAACCUGCCUUAUAAAAAAUACCAAGCUCCAAAGUACCUUUCAGAUAUCUCAAAGCCCUCUUUGCCGCCAACAUAUGUUCUUCCCUUGGUUUUGACAUGUAACGAGAGAUCAAACAUACAACAUACAUCAUGUCAGGCCUUGUCACUGUAAGAUACAUUAGGCACCCAACAAUCUGUUUGUAAAGAGUGGCAUCUACUUCUUCUCCUCCGCCUUCUUUUGUGAGUUUAGCUCCGGGAACAAUCGGAUUUUUGACCGGAUUACAAUCCGCCAUUUUAAACCUUUCUAACACUUCUUGAGCAUACUUCUUCUGGCAUAAAUGAAUUCCAGCGUGACUUUGACGAACUUCCACACCAAGAAAGAACCUCAUUAAGCCGAGAUCAGUCAUCUCAAACUCUUGCUUCAUUGACUUUUUGAACUCUUCAAGCAACACUUCAUCAUUCCCAGCAAAAAUUAAAUCAUCAACAUAGAUACUUACCAUGAUAUACUUUUCACCUUCUCUUUUGAUGAAUAAGGUAUGAUCAUGGCUGCUUCUGUUGAAUCCUGCUUGCUUGAAGUACCCCUCAAUCCGACUAAACCAGGCUCUAGGAGCUUGUUUUAACCCGUAUAGCGCCUUUUUUAACCGAUACACCUUGUCUUCCUCACCUUUUUUGACAAAUCCUUCUGGCUGGUCCACAUACACCACUUCCUUCAAUUCUCCAUAAAGAAAAGCACUUUUUACGUCUAAUUGGUACACCUUCCAUCCUCUUUGCGCAGACACAGCCAAAAGAAUUCGAAUUGUAUCCCAACGAGCUACCGGAGCAAAGACUUCAUCAUAGUCAAUGCCUUCUUCUUGAGCAUAACCUUUCACGACCAAACGCGCCUUAUAUUUAUCGACUUUUCCAUCCUCAUUCAGCUUGGUUUUGAAAACCCAUUUGACUCCAAUCCUUUUGGCCUCAGCCGGUAAUCUUACAAGAUCCCAAGUAUCAUUCUUCUCAAUGGACUGAAUUUCGCUUCUCAUUGCCUCCAUCCACUUCUCUUCUUUACUUGCUUCUGUAAACUGGACUGGAUCACCAUGAGAUAAAAACAGAGCCAUCGCCAACUCUGCUUCAGCCUCUCCAUCCGAGAUCCUCUCCCCACUUUCAUAGUCUUGCAUCCAAAUAGGUGCCCUUCUCUCUCGUUGCUCACGUAUCUCUGGCUGCGGAGAAUUGAGAUUUUCAACAUUGAGAUGCUCCUCGAUUUCACCCUCUUCUUCGAUCUCUUCUGCGCCAUCUUCUCUGUUUUGAUCUUCUUCUUCUCCCCAAUCUAAGACAUCACUGAGACCUUUCUCAUCUGCGCUCCAAUCCCACUUCUCCUCCUCUUCAAAAAUCACAUCUCGGCUAGUGACUACUGUUUUGGAGAUUGGAUCAUAGAGUCGAUAUGCUUUCGAUUCCUCACUUACACCAAGAAGAAUGCAUUUUCGGCUUCUGCUAUCAAGUUUUAUUCUUCGCUGCUCUGGUACGUGUGCGUGGCCGAUGCAACCGAACACUCUGAAAUAAUUCACGCUCGGUUUUAUCCCACUCCAGCAUUCUUCAGGCACCAUGUCUUUCACCGCACUUGUCACACUUCUGUUCAACACAUGACAUGUCCACUUUGCAGCCUCAGGCCAAAAACGCUUUGGCAUACUCUUCUCCGUAAGCAAGCAUCGGACCAUAUUCAUUAUUGUGCGAUUUCUUCUUUCGGCGACACCAUUUUGUUGUGGCGUGUAGGCUGCGGUUAACUGUCUCUUAAUCCCAUUUUCUUCACAAAACUGAUUGAACACAUUUGAGGUGAACUCUCCUCCCCUAUCAGUCCUCAAACAACCAAUUUCUGUUCCUGAUUCUUUCUCCACAAGAGCUUUAAAAAUCUUGAAAGUAUCAAACGCCUCAUUUUUUUCAGAGAGAAGGUAGAUCCAACUUUUGCGGCUAAAGUCAUCAAUCAAAAGGAAGAUGUACCUUUUUCCACUGUGAGAGGUUGGAGAAAUAGGGCCGCAUAAGUCUGCAUGAAUGAGCUUUAGCUUCUCCGCAGCUCUCCAUUGGCUCUUCUUUGGUAUAGUUUCUCGGUGUUGCUUUCCGAUGUUACAGACUUCGCAAACCUUAGGGAUUUCUUUCAUUGGAGGUAGACCAUUUACCAGUUUCUUGUCAUGCAUACUCUGGAUAGAUGUGUUAUUGAGAUGUCCGUAACGCUUGUGCCAGAGGGUCGCCACUUCAUCUUCUUCGAUUUUCAGACAUUGAUUGGGAUCGGUUUUCAUAAUAGCUGACACAAUGAACAUGCGAUUUGCAGUCAUUUUUGUGCUCACAAUCAAACCUCUGCGAGGAUGAUAGAUCUUACACACUCCUUUGCUAAUCAGAACAUCCACACCCUUUUCUUGUAAUUGCCCAACACUCAACAGAUUAUUAGUCAGGUUUGGAACAAAGAACACGUCACUUACAAUUUGAGUCACUCCGUCAACCUCAAAUUUGACGUCUCCUUUUCCCACAACCUCCAUUCUUGAACUGUUGCCCAAUCUCACCGCAUGCCUGAAACUAUCAUCGAUCUCCAUGAACCAUUCUUUAUUUCCCGUCAUGUGAUUGGAACAUCCCGAAUCCAGAAACCACAGACCACUUUUCUUCGUUUCUUGAGUCUCUGUUUGCGCCAUUAGAAGCAAUGCCUCUCCUUCAUCGAACUCAGCAUAGUUUGCUUCCUUUUCAGCGGUUGGACACUCGUAUUGAAAAUGUCCCAGUUUGUGACAUCUAAAACAUUCAAUGGUAGCUUUGUCGAAACUUGGUCUGGUUCCUCCUCUUCCUCUUGACACGUUGCUACCUCCUCUUCUACCAUUGUAGCCCCUACCUCUUCCUCGUCCAGAGUUGUCGUACUCAACUUUUAGUACUUGCUCUUCGACUCCCCUACGUCGUAUCUUCUGUUCGUGAACAAGCAGUGAGCUGUGUAGCCCGUCGACAGUCAUCUGGUCAAUGUCCUUUGAUUCUUCUAUAGAGCACACGACAUAGUUAAAAUUCUCCGUUAGUGUUCGAAGAAUUUUUUCAACGAUCUUCACAUCUUCCAUGUUUUCUCCGCAGUUCCGCAUAUCGUUUGAUGUCACCAUGACUCUCCCGAAAUAAUCUGUCACUGUUUCUCCCACCUUCAUCUCUAAGGUUUCGAAAACUCUACGAAGUCUCUGUAGCUGCGCACGUUUCACCCUUUCAUUGCCUUGAUACUUGAUUUUCAUGGAAUCCCAUAAAAGCUUAGCGGUCUCCUUUUGAGUGAUGGUCUUCAAGAUCGACUUGUCAAUGGACUGGAAGAGAUAGUUCUUUGCCUUCAAGUCCUUUAGCCUUGCUUCAUCUAACACCUUCUGUUGUGCUGCGGACAGCACUUCUCCUUCUCCGGGUUCCUUAAAACCAGGUUGAAUCACACACCAAUACUCCUUUGAACGCAACAGGUUCUCCAUUAGUAAACUCCAAUGGUCGUAAUCUCCAUCGAAUUUUGGCACACACGGGGCAUUGAAGUUACUUGAUUCAGCUGCCAUCUCUCACACCGAUUUCUUUUCUCACACUCACUCAAAAUACACACUCGUUUCUCACUCCGUCAGAUCCCUUUUGAGAGGGCUCUGAUACCACAAUGUUAAAAUAAGAGUUGCAGGUUUUGAGAAAAGAAUCUCUGAUGCAUUAGAAAGAAAUCGAAAUGGCCUUUAAAUAGCCUUACAACAACUGAAAUGAGAAAACUAAGGAAACAGAUUUGAACGUGGCUUAGUUCCUACGAUUACGCCUUAUUGAUUGACUCAACAUCACUAACUAAUAGUGACUUAGUCUUUGAUGACUUAUUCAACUCCAACAAAAUUAUUGACUCAAAGAAUUUCAUGAUAAGAAAAGGCACUCAGAAUGAGUAGGAGGUAUAUAUUCA
Molecule: long non-coding RNA, 4656 nt
Filed under: Arabidopsis lyrata
Lineage: Eukaryota; Viridiplantae; Streptophyta; Magnoliopsida; Brassicales; Brassicaceae
Description: long non-coding RNA (ALYR_LNC001786)
Source: RNAcentral